This 404-nucleotide ribosomal RNA is filed under the name uncultured bacterium. Its description in RNAcentral is "bacterial SSU rRNA". It matches the Rfam family "Bacterial small subunit ribosomal RNA", at positions 355 to 775 of the family's 1533-position model. The record is from RNAcentral.
UGGGGAAAAAAAGCACAAUGGGGGAAACCCUGAUGCAGCAACGCCGCGUGAGUGAUGAAGGUUUUCGGAUCGUAAAGCUCUGUCUUUGGGGAAGAUAAUGACGGUACCCAAGGAGGAAGCCACGGCUAACUACGUGCCAGCAGCCGCGGUAAUACGUAGGUGGCGAGCGUUAUCCGGAUUUACUGGGCGUAAAGGGAGCGUAGGCGGAUGAUUAAGUGGGAUGUGAAAUACCCGGGCUCAACUUGGGUGCUGCAUUCCAAACUGGUUAUCUAGAGUGCAGGAGAGGAGAGUGGAAUUCCUAGUGUAGCGGUGAAAUGCGUAGAGAUUAGGAAGAACACCAGUGGCGAAGGCGACUCUCUGGACUGUAACUGACGCUGAGGCUCGAAAGCGUGGGGAGCAAACAG